AUUGAACGCUGGCGGCAGGCUUAACACAUGCAAGUCGAACGAUGAUUAUCUAGCUUGCUAGAUAUGAUUAGUGGCGGACGGGUGAGUAACAUUUAGGAAUCUGCCUAGUAGUGGGGGAUAGCUCGGGGAAACUCGAAUUAAUACCGCAUACGACCUACGGGUGAAAGGGGGCGCAAGCUCUUGCUAUUAGAUGAGCCUAAAUCAGAUUAGCUAGUUGGUGGGGUAAAGGCCCACCAAGGCGACGAUCUGUAACUGGUCUGAGAGGAUGAUCAGUCACACCGGAACUGAGACACGGUCCGGACUCCUACGGGAGGCAGCAGUGGGGAAUAUUGGACAAUGGGGGCAACCCUGAUCCAGCCAUGCCGCGUGUGUGAAGAAGGCCUUUUGGUUGUAAAGCACUUUAAGCAGGGAGGAGAGGCUAAUGGUUAAUACCCAUUAGAUUAGACGUUACCUGCAGAAUAAGCACCGGCUAACUCUGUGCCAGCAGCCGCGGUAAUACAGAGGGUGCGAGCGUUAAUCGGAAUUACUGGGCGUAAAGCGAGUGUAGGUGGCUCAUUAAGUCACAUGUGAAAUCCCCGGGCUUAACCUGGGAACUGCAUGUGAUACUGGUGGUGCUAGAAUAUGUGAGAGGGAAGUAGAAUUCCAGGUGUAGCGGUGAAAUGCGUAGAGAUCUGGAGGAAUACCGAUGGCGAAGGCAGCUUCCUGGCAUAAUAUUGACACUGAGAUUCGAAAGCGUGGGUAGCAAACAGGAUUAGAUACCCUGGUAGUCCACGCCGUAAACGAUGUCUACUAGCCGUUGGGGUCCUUGAGACUUUAGUGGCGCAGUUAACGCGAUAAGUAGACCGCCUGGGGAGUACGGCCGCAAGGUUAAAACUCAAAUGAAUUGACGGGGGCCCGCACAAGCGGUGGAGCAUGUGGUUUAAUUCGAUGCAACGCGAAGAACCUUACCUGGUCUUGACAUAGUGAGAAUCCUGCAGAGAUGCGGGAGUGCCUUCGGGAAUUCACAUACAGGUGCUGCAUGGCUGCCGUCAGCUCGUGUCGUGAGAUGUUGGGUUAAGUCCCGCAACGAGCGCAACCCUUUUCCUUAUUUGCCAGCGGGUUAAGCCGGGAACUUUAAGGAUACUGCCAGUGACAAACUGGAGGAAGGCGGGGACGACGUCAAGUCAUCAUGGCCCUUACGACCAGGGCUACACACGUGCUACAAUGGUAGGUACAGAGGGUUGCUACACAGCGAUGUGAUGCUAAUCUCAAAAAGCCUAUCGUAGUCCGGAUUGGAGUCUGCAACUCGACUCCAUGAAGUCGGAAUCGCUAGUAAUCGCAGAUCAGAAUGCUGCGGUGAAUACGUUCCCGGGCCU
Molecule: ribosomal RNA, 1355 nt
Filed under: uncultured bacterium
Lineage: Bacteria
Description: bacterial SSU rRNA
Rfam family: Bacterial small subunit ribosomal RNA
Source: RNAcentral